This 2161-nucleotide long non-coding RNA is filed under the name Ursus maritimus (polar bear). Its description in RNAcentral is "lncRNA (ENSUMAG00000012109.1)". The record is from RNAcentral. Lineage: Eukaryota; Metazoa; Chordata; Mammalia; Carnivora; Ursidae.
GACAACCCAGAGGUCCACACAUUCACAGAUACACAAACACAGACACACAGACACACAAGAGCGAGGGUCUCCUGGCUAUAUCGAAGCCAAUUAAUUCCUGGGCUGUGAAGUUCGCAGCUGACCCUAAGCAAAGGACAGCCUGAAUGAGCACCUUUAGAUUUCCUUACAAAUCAAGUAUAGUAUUGCUGUGAUAAACAGAUUCGGGAAAACAUGCCAGAUUUCAAGAGCAUUUUAAUGACUAAUUGGAGAGACUGAGUAGGUAGCAAAUAUUUGGCUAGCAUUACCCACCCUCAGACAGUGCCGGUGAAAGAAAAGCCUUGGAAUGAUGAGCUAUUUAUAACACUGUUUUAAAAGGUUACCUUGUUGAAAUGCAACAUCUCAUUAGGAGUUAAAUCCUGGAACCGGCUGGGAAAAAAGUGGUACUUGAAAAUAACAUGUUGUCAGGGUAGCGAGGAAAUGCUAGCGUGCGACUGUCUGUCUGUGAAGUGAGCAUACGACCGCAAGGACGGGAUCUUCUGUGGUGAGAAAUCCUGCCGCUCUCCUGAGCCCAGGAGCCCUUACAGACGGCAGAGCAGAGCGAUGUGUCCUUAAUGCAGUAAGGUAAAAUAUUACAUGACAGGGCACAAGAAAACAUGUUCCUCUAAAAAGCAAAUUGACGGAAUCUGUCAUUUUAGAAAGCUAAAAUUAUCGAGGACUCUUCAUGUCUCGAGGAAAAUAAUGGAGAGGAAAUGUCAGGCACUGCGGUUUUCCCGAAUAGGCUUUAGCUCGGAUACAUCAGAAGUCAGUUUUUAGGAAAGUCGAUUUUUCACACAUUUACAGAAAUAAUUCGCUUCAGAUCUGCAAUGAAGGCUUGAAACCACAUGCGUUUUUGAAACUGCCAAUCCAGGAUACUGUCUGGGGUAUCUUUUUUUUAAAAUACCUAAAUUAGAUGUAUGCAGAAUGUGGAAAUAGCAGAUAACAGGCAAUGUGGAAGUAAUAAAGACAAAAAUGUCAAAGGCGCUUUCUUUGAGCCCGUCCCUCCCUCCAGACACAGUGAAGUGUGGGGGAAAGCAGAACAAAACUAAAAAAGAGCCCGUGUCCUCUGACGCUGGAGCAAAGGGCAGGGAACCGAGCCAGCACAGUCCAGAGGGUCCCACAAGGGGACACAUGGGGGGUCCUGGGGAAGGAGGCGGGAGGCGCAGGGACCUCGCAGUGGUUCUGGCUCUGGUGUCUGUGCACGAAGAGGCCCGCCUGGAACCUUCCCGGGGCUCUCCUUCCAGGGUCUGUCUGCUUCAUCCCAUUGUGGGAGAUGUUCCUUAAAAGUACGUGGUGUGUCGGGCGAAGAUUUUUCUGGAUGGCCAGCACUUGACAAGAAUACCACACAUCUGACUGUGCAGGCAGAGAAGCCUUUCUGUUUGAGUCAUUGAAAGGCUGGGUGGGGGAAUUUGUGAGCACCUAAUAAUAGGAUUUCAAAAAUCCUUUUUUAUUUAUUUUGAGCACAUUUCAGUAGCAGAGGCAUUGUUCUUGAAUAGCCCAUGCACUAUAAACGUAGCCGCAGUGUUCAGUAGGCACAGAGCUUUAGUUGUAUAUAUGGAAAUGUAUUUAAAUGUUUUCAGCAUUUGUCCUGAAAUAUAUUUUUUAUGUUGCCAAUUUACACUGUAGAGAUGCAAAGAUUUAAUGGACAAGGACAGACUUUAUCGCAGCUCUGCUCGGAGUUAAUGAGUAAAAAUUCUGAAAUUAGUAAUAUCUAAAAACUCAGUCCCUUUCAAUGUCUUAAGAAGUUCCCCUGACUGAGUGUAAGCUUCUAGUUAAUAGCAAUCAUACUACUACUCUUUAGUUUGUAGAAGGUUUUGCAAAGAAUACCAAAUACUAGAAUCCAUGCCCUUGAAAGUAUUAAACUUGUUUUUCCUUUCAUUAAAAAAAAAUACUUGUUUGAUUCUGUUAGAAUACCUGUGAAAACCAUUUUACAAAAUUUUAAUGAUGAGAUCUUGAUUGAGCAAGUCUCUCCUAAUUUCCUAGAAACCAUUAAUUAAAAUUUCAAAGUAUCAACCUCUGUGUUACAUAUUCAUCCAAAAAAAAUGUAUUAUUUAGACAACAAACGCUGUUGCCUUGCGAUAGGUUAUUUUUUUUCAAGUGAGCCAACACCACGGAAUAAAAUAUAUGAUCUGUCGUGGCUGACUCA